AAGUGGACUAUUUCAGAACCUAGAACGGAGCCAAAGAGCUCAAGUCCAAGGACAAUCAAGCAAAACAUGCAGUGUGUGAGAGGCUAAAUUAUAAAUGGGUAUGAAAAUAUAAAAAAUAAAUAUGGGGUUGCUUGAACUAGAGGAACUAAUUUAUUUAUUGCUUAAAAAUAUAGUGACUAAGUUAUAAUUUACUCGAACUAUAAGAUUGACAAAUCUGCUAAGCGAAACAAGAAACAGUAAUUGAAUUGGCAGCUCGAAAAUCUUUGAUGAACAAGAAAAGAGAUGAUAACAAGGUCGAAACUGGUGGAGCAAUUGAGAGAGAGAGAGGGGGGGAGUGCCAGAUCCGAUCCCAACACAAGCGUUCUUCUCUCACCAUCUUUUCUCCUAAACCCCCAUCUCGUCCUGGGCUCUGGGGCAAGCCAUUAGAUAAAUACUAGGCAAAAGUUGAUCCAGUUACAUGCUGUGAUAAAAAAUUGUUGAGCCAUACAACUCCAGUCCAAACGAAAUUAAAAUGAAACAAACCCUGAUAAUCAUUGGCUGUGUAAGAGGCAACCAGAUUCUUCUUCAGGGGCUGAUGUCACUGUAGCAAUCUUUUGGGCCUUAACAUUAAGCAUGCUUGUCAUAUCAUCUUACAAGGCACUUUAUUUCCGACAUUUCUGGCUUUUGUUUCUCAUAAUAUGUCUUGCAAUUUUUCUUCCCGUACAUCUGAGAAGUUCAAGGGCCCAGAAUAGGGAGAGAAGAUUGUUAUUGCCUUUGUCCACGUGAACAUGCUAUGGCAUUGAAGCAUUUCAACCAUAGAGCUUUGUAAUUGGAACUUAUCGUUCACAUUUGAUUCCUGUGGCUUAUUGGAAAAAAUUAUAAAACUCGGAGCACUGAUCUUGGUCAACCCAGAUUUGUCCUGCCCUCUCAGAUAGAUGGUAUGAUUCUUUUGUUUAUCCUUCAUAACCAUACACAGAAGCUAUGAGAUUUUUCAUAACACCUUUUUUUAACAAAUGUGAAACUCUAUACAUCUGAGCAAAGUUUAGGAGCAGUUACCUGUUAAUCUUUUGAGUAGUUACAUUGUAAAUUUAGUCCUGUUCGAAAAAACUAUCACAGCAUGCUGUCAAGAUUACUGUGUUGUAAUAAGCUAUUUACAUGAAAUAGAAAAAGGCAUAAUAGACUGUC
Long non-coding RNA from Populus trichocarpa (black cottonwood), 1164 nucleotides. RefSeq lists it as uncharacterized. The transcript is spliced from 3 exons. The record is from RefSeq and is a predicted model, not a curated record. NCBI's taxonomy places the organism in Eukaryota, Viridiplantae, Streptophyta, Magnoliopsida, Malpighiales, Salicaceae.